UACAGAGGGUGCGAGCGUUAAUCGGAAUUACUGGGCGUAACGGGCGCGUAGGCGGCUUAUCAAGUCAGGCGUGAAAUUCCCGGGCUCAACCUGGGGGCUGCGCUUGAUACUGAUUGGCUUGAAUGCGGGAGAGGAUAGUGGAAUUCCCAGUGUAGAGGUGAAAUUCGUAGAUAUUGGGAAGAACACCGGUGGCGAAGGCGGCUAUCUGGCCCGUAAUUGACGCUGAGGCGCGAAAGCGUGGGGAGCAAACAGG
RNAcentral lists this ribosomal RNA (253 nucleotides) under uncultured bacterium. RNAcentral's name for it is "partial 16S ribosomal RNA". It matches the Rfam family "Bacterial small subunit ribosomal RNA", at positions 524 to 776 of the family's 1533-position model. The record is from RNAcentral.